This 1645-nucleotide long non-coding RNA is filed under the name Equus asinus (donkey). RNAcentral's name for it is "lncRNA (ENSEASG00005028913.1)". The record is from RNAcentral. Lineage: Eukaryota; Metazoa; Chordata; Mammalia; Perissodactyla; Equidae.
AUUAUUUCAGUUACUCAUAUGGUUUUAUUUAUGUAAGUGUGUGCUGGACCAUGAUACACACUGUCCUUCUUGCUAUGGGAUGCUCUGAAAGCCACUGCUCUUAAACCACAGUAAACUGAGCAACAGAAGGGUCCAUGUGCCAGAUGGAGAGGCCCACACAAGAUCACCCACCGUUUCUGCCCUGCACACGCACAGCGAUGACUCUUCAAGGCCAGGCUGGAAUCCCUCUCUGACAGCCUCCCACUUUGUUGCCUUGUCUUUUCAGAUUGACAGCCAGGCAGCAUCUGUGUUAAAAAGAACUUCCCCCAUUUCUUAGAACUGCGUGCGAGGCUGAGAAUUCUGGAGGUGGCUUCCAAGAUAUUUACAGCUCUGCCAUCAGUUUAGAAGUUGUUGUUCCAUCUUUCAAAUCUUUCUUCUGCCUGCUCAACCUAGAGCAACCCUCUUCAGCAAGAAUGUGGGGAUCUUGUGGCCUCUGCCUGUUCCGUCGUUCCCAGUCUAGCAGAGCAAUGUCAGCAUGAACCUGUAGACACGAGUGAGUCUCGUUCUGUAAUCUCCAGAAAAGAUUUAAAGAAAUCUUUUCUCUUAAGCCAUCGACAGUUUGGUAGGACACACCUUUGUGAAGAAAAAUGAAACAUUUAUCUUUUCUCUGUACCUGAUCCCUCCAGAAUUUGGAAACACUCAAAUAAUAAUUGUUCAGUGACUUGAGAUGAUCGACCAAUCUUCAAACUCCGAAGGACUUGAUACUUUUCCAGAUAGAGACUGUGCCUAAGACUCAUUUCCUGACCUCCUCCUCAUUGCUCAGAUGCCGCCAGAGCCUCUGACUACGUUACUCUUACUGAUGAUUGAGCACGUUGCUCCCCUCAACAAAGGACAUGACUUCCAAGAAAAGAGCAUUCCUAGCAAUGAGGGAAAUAUCAAUACAUCAAACACUUGAUCCAAGAUGCUUUCUGCUGCAAGGUCUUGAUCAGAAGAGGAAAUGUGGACAGUGAUAACAAAAUGGAGUAACAUCUGUCAAGGCUUCUAAAAUGGAGCUGGGUGGCCAUUAAGGAAAUGGGACUCAUGGAGGCACACCACUCUCUACCCAGAUGGAAUGUUAACUUUUUUUUUUUUUUUUGAGGACAAUUAGCCCUGAGCUAACAUCUGCUGCCAAUCCUCCUCUUUUUGCUGAGGAAGAUUGGCCCUGAGCUAACAUCUGUGCCCAUCCUCCUCCUCUUUAUAUGUGGGAUGCCUACCACAGCAUGACUUGCCAAGCAGUGCCAUAUCCACACCCAGGAUCCGAACCGGCGAACCCAGGGCCACUGAAGUGAAAUGUGCGAACUUAACAGCUACACCACUGGGCUGGCUCCUUGGAAUGUUAACUUUUGAGCUGUGCUUCUCUGUAGUCAUCUUGACCUUCUUUCAAGAAAUAUGCUUACUCUCAAAGAUAAGAACUUCCUGCCUUAGAGACAGCCUUAGCAACUGAUCACAUAUAGCCAAGAAGUAACAGUUGUUGCCAGCACCAAUCACAAAUUUUGCAAAACGACCUGUGUAAUUUUUCUCUUUUUGUCUCUAUAAACCCUUACCUCCUUGUUUUCCUCAGAACACAUUUUGGGUUUCUGCCUGGAUCUGUGUCUCCCGAGUUGCAUUUCUAAUUGUCCAAAGAAAU